RNAcentral lists this ribosomal RNA (451 nucleotides) under uncultured bacterium. Its description in RNAcentral is "bacterial SSU rRNA". It matches the Rfam family "Bacterial small subunit ribosomal RNA", at positions 355 to 825 of the family's 1533-position model. The record is from RNAcentral.
UCAAGAAACUUCCACAAUGGGCGAAAGCCUGAUGGAGCGACGUCGCGUGAUGGACGAAGUGCUUCGGCACGUAAACAUCUUUUUAUGUGGGAUGAAAUUAUUGACAGUACCACAUGAAUAAGGGGCUCCUAACUCUGUGCCAGCAGGAGCGGUAAUACAGAGGCCCCAAGCGUUAUCCGGAAUCACUGGGCGUAAAGGGUGUCGAGGCGGUUGUAUUAGUCGUUCGUAAAAUCUACGAGCUUAACUUGUAGGCGGCGAACGAAACGGUACGACUUGAGGUUUGGAGAGGUGCGUGGAACUCACGGUGUAGGGGUGAAAUCCGUUGAUAUCGUGGGGAGCACCAAAGGCGAAGGCAGCGCACUGGCCAAAAUCUGACGCUCACACACGAAAGCUAGGGUAGCGAAGAGGAUUAGAUACCCAGGUAGUCCCUGAGCGGGCUGGCAAGGCGCAU